Molecule: small RNA, 71 nt
Filed under: Salmonella enterica
Lineage: Bacteria; Pseudomonadati; Pseudomonadota; Gammaproteobacteria; Enterobacterales; Enterobacteriaceae
Also listed under: 4 other names
Description: partial RtT sRNA
Rfam family: RtT RNA
About the family: This family represents a bacterial cis-regulatory element known as RtT RNA.
Source: RNAcentral
UAUCUCUCCGUACGGGGAAGGAUGAGAAGCUUCGACUAAGGUUCGAUUCGAGCGCAGCGAGAAAGCGUUGC